GACGAACGCUGGCGGCGUGCUUAACACAUGCAAGUCGAACGGUAAGGCCCUUCGGGGUACACGAGUGGCGAACGGGUGAGUAACACGUGGGUGAUCUGCCCUGCACUUCGGGAUAAGCCUGGGAAACUGGGUCUAAUACCGGAUAGGACCACUGCCUGCAUGGGUGGUGGUGGAAAGCUUUUGCGGUGUGGGAUGGGCCCGCGGCCUAUCAGCUUGUUGGUGGGGUGAUGGCCUACCAAGGCGACGACGGGUAGCCGGCCUGAGAGGGUGACCGGCCACACUGGGACUGAGAUACGGCCCAGACUCCUACGGGAGGCAGCAGUGGGGAAUAUUGCACAAUGGGCGCAAGCCUGAUGCAGCGACGCCGCGUGAGGGAUGACGGCCGCCGGGUUGUAAACCUCUUUCAGCACCGACGAAGCGCAAGUGACGGUAGGUGCAGAAGAAGGACCGGCCAACUACGUGCCAGCCGCCGCAGUAA
RNAcentral lists this ribosomal RNA (478 nucleotides) under uncultured bacterium. RNAcentral's name for it is "partial 16S ribosomal RNA". It matches the Rfam family "Bacterial small subunit ribosomal RNA", at positions 28 to 523 of the family's 1533-position model. The record is from RNAcentral.